GACGAACGCUGGCGGCGUGCCUAAUACAUGCAAGUUGAGCGAUGAAGAUUGGUGCUUGCACCAAUUUGAAGAGCAGCGAACGGGUGAGUAACGCGUGGGGAAUCUGCCUUUGAGCGGGGGACAACAUUUGGAAACGAAUGCUAAUACCGCAUAACAACUUUAAACAUAAGUUUUAAGUUUGAAAGAUGCAAUUGCAUCACUCAAAGAUGAUCCCGCGUUGUAUUAGCUAGUUGGUGAGGUAAAGGCUCACCAAGGCGAUGAUACAUAGCCGACCUGAGAGGGUGAUCGGCCACAUUGGGACUGAGACACGGCCCAAACUCCUACGGGAGGCAGCAGUAGGGAAUCUUCGGCAAUGGACGAAAGUCUGACCGAGCAACGCCGCGGGAGUGAAGAAGGGUUUCGGAUCGUAAAACUCUGUUGGUAGAGAAGAACGUUGGUGAGAGUGGAAAGCUCAUCAAGUGACGGUAACUACCCAGAAAGGGACGGCUAACUACGUG
This 497-nucleotide ribosomal RNA is filed under the name uncultured bacterium. RNAcentral describes it as "partial 16S ribosomal RNA". It matches the Rfam family "Bacterial small subunit ribosomal RNA", at positions 28 to 507 of the family's 1533-position model. The record is from RNAcentral.